GACGAACGCUGGCGGCGCGCUUAACACAUGCAAGUCGAGCGAGAACCUGGGCUUCGGCCCUGGGGACAGCGGCGAACGGGUGAGUAACACGUGGGUAAUCUGCCCUUGACAUCGGGAUAGCCCGGGGAAACCCGGAUUAAUACCGAAUAGCCUCCGGAGCCUUCGGGCGCCGGAGAAAAGGUAGCUUCGGCCUCUGGUCGAGGAUGAGCCCGCGGCGGAUUAGCUUGUUGGCGGGGUAACGGCCCACCAAGGCGACGAUCCGUAGCUGGUCUGAGAGGACGAUCAGCCACACUGGGACUGAGAACCGGCCCAGACUCCUACGGGAGGCAGCAGUGGGGAAUCUUGCGCCAAUGCGGGAAACCGUGACGCAGCGACGCCGCGUGGGGGAAGAAGGCCUUCGGGUUGUAAACCUCUUUCAGGAGGGACGAAGCCACUCGGGUGAAUAGCCCAGAGGGUGACGGUACCUCCAGAAGAAGCCCCGGCUAACUACGUGCCAGCAGCCGCCGUAA
This 509-nucleotide ribosomal RNA is filed under the name uncultured bacterium. RNAcentral's name for it is "partial 16S ribosomal RNA". It matches the Rfam family "Bacterial small subunit ribosomal RNA", at positions 28 to 523 of the family's 1533-position model. The record is from RNAcentral.